Molecule: transfer RNA, 76 nt
Filed under: Desulfatitalea sp. BRH_c12
Lineage: Bacteria; Pseudomonadati; Thermodesulfobacteriota; Desulfobacteria; Desulfobacterales; Desulfosarcinaceae
Also listed under: 1 other name
Description: tRNA-Thr
Rfam family: tRNA
About the family: Transfer RNA (tRNA) molecules are approximately 80 nucleotides in length. Their secondary structure includes four short double-helical elements and three loops (D, anti-codon, and T loops).
Source: RNAcentral
GCCGGCGUAGCUCAGUAGGUAGAGCAGCUGAUUCGUAAUCAGCAGGUCAGCGGUUCGACUCCGCUCGCCGGCUCCA